UUCGAUACCCUGCAUGUGUAUUUUAAUGAACUUUUGAGUUUUAACUAAUACUAUUAGCAUUUAGCGUAGCGCAUUUGCAUUUCCAGAGCUCUAGUUGGGACGCAAGCGUCCCGAGUAGAAGCAACAGGUUAAAGGUCAGUACCCUGUCUAGCCUGCCAGAUGUUUGAGAGGGUGAAGACUGUGGCACCGUAGUUGAAGCCCAUCAAAGUUGUUUCACCAUGGCACAUGAUCACAUGAUCUCUAAGUGACCACAUCAGAGUUCAAUAUUGUGGAAUGUGUGUGUGUGUCAGUAUCCUUACAAAUGUGAACAUCUGCAGACUGUAUGACACAGAUACGGUAAGAAUAAAGUAAUCUUCCCUCUAACACUUUAAAUGUUAGGGGUGGACCUCAUCGGACCCUUCACAAAAUCCAAGAAUGGCAACAGCUGGUGUCUGACGGCAACCAAUCACUUUACCAAGUGGGUGGAGGCAAUUGCCAUUCAGGUCAGUAAAGUAAGAGUAUGUGCUUAACUCUAAAUUCCCUCAUGUAACCCAUUAAAAAGGUGGCUUGAAACCAAAAAUAGAUUUACAUUUUGUAUGAUACCCAUCAAGGGAGAGACUGGCAAGGCCAUCUCCAAGGCAAUAAUGGACAUCUUCAAUACCCAUAUUUCUCCUGAGGUCAUCUUGAGUGACCGAAGUCAAGAAUGCUGGAACAAGGUUUGGUGAAUGGACCAACGAGACCGUCAAGACUGCCUUGAUUGGUACCAGGAAGUGUGGGAGAACAACCUGAAGGUGAACAUGGACAAGGCGCAGGAGAAACAGAAGGACAGCUACCGGAGCAGAAUCAAGAAGGGUCCCAAGUGCUACGACAUCCGGGUGACUUACUUGGUUUGGAAGAAGGACGAAAGAAAGGCGAGACCUGGGAAUACCUCGCUGCUCUUUCGCUCCUAGUUGGGGUCACCAUCUGUUAAGGAUUACCGCGGUGGAAGCCAACAAUCUACUCCAGCUUGAGCAGUUGGACGGUCGACCACUGAAUGCACUGACGCCCUACACUUCAGUGAAGCCCAAUAGACAAAGUAUGAUCAUCUUAGGUUGAUAUUUGAAAAAGCAAGAAAGUGUAUAUAUGCUGAGCUUUUAAAAAUAUCCUCUUCAAUUUACCUCUCCAAAUAACUUUCCAAAUAACUUAAGACCAUCAACUGUCCAAGCCCCCCAGGAGGUAUCCCACCCACCAGAACCAGUUAGGUCGGAUCAGUCUGAUUCUCUGUGCUCUGAGUCGGUGGGGAACCAGCUUGAGGUAGGCUAAAUGUGCACUAAUCCAUGACAUUAUCUCACAGCAAAGUGUAACCUGUUUGCUUGUUUACAUCCAUGUCUCCUGUUCCUUUUAACUCUGCUCCUGUUCUCCAGGACCUAGUGGUUCUGUCCAACAGCCAGAUGUGGAUCCACCUGAUGUCCUCAAUUACCAACCAACUUUUCAUUACAUGAACUGUACACCCUAUUCACCCACAACUGUGGCCAUGCACACCUCCAACUCAAUCAUCAAGUUUGCAGAUGACACAACAGUAGUGGGCUUGAUUACAAACAUCGACGAGACUGCCUACAGGGAGGAGGUGAUGGCACUUGGAGUGGGGUGUCAGGAAACUCAACUUCAACAAAGGAGAUGAUCGUGGUCUUCAGGAAACAGCAGAGGGAGCACCCCCCUAUCCACAUCGAAGGGACAGCAGUGGAGAAGGUGGAAGGUUUUAUGUUCCUUCGCGUACACAUCACAGACCAACUUAAAUGGUCCACUCACACAGACAGUGUGGUGAAGAAGGCGCAACAGCGCCUCUUCAACCUCAGGCGGCUGAAGAAAUUUGGCAUGUCACCUAAACCCUGACAAUUUUUACAGAUGCACUAUCGAGAACAACCUGUCAGGCUGUAUCACAGCCUGGUAUGGCAAUUGCACCGCCCUCAUCUGCAAGGCUCUCCAGAGGGUGGCACGGUCUGCACAAUGCAUCACCGGGGGCAAACUACCUGCCCUCCAUGACACCUUCAUCACCCGAUGUCCAAAAAAAUCAUCACGGACAUCAUAUUAGGUAGUUGUUGGGGAAUUGUUAGAUAUUACUGCACUGUCGGCACUAGAAGCACAAGCAUUUUGCUACAUUCGCAUUAACAUCUGCCAACCAUGUGUAUGUGACAAAUACAAUUUGAUUACAUCUACAGCUAGUGUUAUUGUGAAGUCCUCAUCUGCUAAGAAGGUAUUCUUGCAUGAUCAUACUGUGAACAUGUGAUACAGUUGAACUAAAAACACAAGCACUGCAAACUCUUUGCAAAGUCCAGGCACUGCUCCUUUCAUUGUGCUGUCUCCCUCUUCAAGGCCCUCUUCCGAGACUGGCUGCCUGUUGAGAACAAGAGACAGGCAGAACCUCUCACCCACACAACAACCACCUCAAUAUUCCAGACAUCGAUGUUCAGUAUUUUAAUCUAUGAUUGCCAUGUGAUUGUACAAAAAGAAUCUGAAAAUAAA
Long non-coding RNA from Oncorhynchus nerka (sockeye salmon), 2481 nucleotides. RefSeq lists it as uncharacterized. The transcript has 4 exons. NCBI's taxonomy places the organism in Eukaryota, Metazoa, Chordata, Actinopteri, Salmoniformes, Salmonidae. The record is from RefSeq and is a predicted model, not a curated record.